This 468-nucleotide ribosomal RNA is filed under the name uncultured bacterium. RNAcentral describes it as "partial 16S ribosomal RNA". It matches the Rfam family "Bacterial small subunit ribosomal RNA", at positions 28 to 507 of the family's 1533-position model. The record is from RNAcentral.
GACGAACGCUGGCGGCGUGCUUAACACAUGCAAGUCGAACGGAAAGGCCCUGCUUUUGUGGGGUGCUCGAGUGGCGAACGGGUGAGUAACACGUGAGUAACCUGCCCUUGACUUUGGGAUAACUUCAGGAAACUGGGGCUAAUACCGGAUAGGAUCUCCUGCUGCAUGGUGUGGGUUGGAAAGUUUCGGCGGUUGGGGAUGGACUCGCGGCUUAUCAGCUUGUUGGGGGGGUAGUGGCUUACCACGGCUUUGACGGGUAGCCGGCCUGAGAGGGGGGCCGGCCACAUUGGGACUGAGAUACGGCCCAGACUCCUACGGGAGGCAGCAGUGGGGAAUAUUGCACAAUGGGCGGAAGCCUGAUGCAGCAACGCCGCGUGCGGGAUGACGGCCUUCGGGUUGUAAACCGCUUUCGCCUGUGACGAAGCGUGAGUGACGGUAAUGGGUAAAGAAGCACCGGCUAACUACGUG